AAUCAAUCGACUUUGCUUUGGUUAAUCUCAGUAACUCAGUAAUUACAGGUCAAUAGAUCACUGGUCCUUCACAACCUACAACAGGAGAAUCUUAAAAUAAAGCCUACAACAAAGAACCCAAAUAGUUACCGAGUGAUUGUCCACAAAUACAAACUAUAAUUGGUCCCCAGUAAAACCAAUUACAUAAUCUUAUAGAAAGACCUGUUUAUCUCGUGCUAUCUUGAGAAGCACAAAUUUAAUCAACAGCCACGCCUUUUUUCCUAAGAUGCAGCACGGUCACCUUUUCAGCAAUCAACUUAAUUUGGUUCACCUUUUCCUGAACUAACUUCUGGAGUUGCUCUUCUUGAUUAGCCAGAUUGUCAUCCAUUUGCACAGUAUUACUAGCUUCGUUGGCCUCUGACCUGAACAUGACAAAUGACAUCUCCUGAUCAUCACUUGGUACAUCAAAAAGUUGCUUCCCAGAUGUCCCAGAAUCUUUCCCUAAGAUGUCAUACUUAACAUGGUUGGAAAUAAUACUAACAAAGUUCUCCGUGUACUUGUCAACAGGAUUAAGGCCAAUGUAGAUCAAAACCUCCCAACACUGGAGAAACUGCUGCUUGUUAAUUUUCAGACUUUUCCUUACAUCCUCCACAGCACUGAGAGGAGGCAAAAGUCGAGGACAAUGUGUUUUCUUUGAUAGCUUUCCUUGCUUUAGAAGGGAAACAGCUUUUGUAACUACAUUCUGAAUUGGGUCAAAUCGAAGAAGGCGAAGGGUAUCAACACAAGUGCGGACAAUUUGGAAGUGAUCUAGUGGCUCUUCUACGGUGAAAUCAAAAACAUUUUCAGCUAUUGCAACAUCAUAAAGCACCUCUAGAAGGAAUCGACCAUAACCCUUGUGCUGGUACGGAGGUAAUACCAGUAUCUGCCUUAAUCGCAAUCUGGAAUCAUCAGGAUAGUGAUAAAAUCGAUAAACAGCAGAAAAACCAAUCACCCUAUAUUGGAUCUCUCCCUGCUGAUCAGUUGUCGUCUGACACACAACAUACAUCUCCCACUGUGAAUCAGUA
RNAcentral lists this small RNA (1043 nucleotides) under Vigna angularis var. angularis. RNAcentral describes it as "Non-protein coding transcript". Lineage: Eukaryota; Viridiplantae; Streptophyta; Magnoliopsida; Fabales; Fabaceae. The record is from RNAcentral.